RNAcentral lists this ribosomal RNA (451 nucleotides) under uncultured bacterium. Its description in RNAcentral is "partial 16S ribosomal RNA". It matches the Rfam family "Bacterial small subunit ribosomal RNA", at positions 354 to 796 of the family's 1533-position model. The record is from RNAcentral.
GUGGGGAAUAUUGGACAAUGGGGGGAACCCUGAUCCAGCCAUGCCGCGUGUGUGAAGAAGGCCUUUUGGUUGUAAAGCACUUUAAGCGAGGAGGAGGCUACCGAGAUUAAUACUCUUGGAUAGUGGACGUUACUCGCAGAAUAAGCACCGGCUAACUCUGUGCCAGCAGCCGCGGUAAUACAGAGGGUGCGAGCGUUAAUCGGAUUUACUGGGCGUAAAGCGUGCGUAGGCGGCUUUUUAAGUCGGAUGUGAAAUCCCCGAGCUUAACUUGGGAAUUGCAUUCGAUACUGGGAAGCUAGAGUAUGGGAGAGGAUGGUAGAAUGCCAGGUGUAGCGGUGAAAUGCGUAGAGAUCUGGAGGAAUACCGAUGGCGAAGGCAGCCAUCUGGCCUAAUACUGACGCUGAGGUACGAAAGCAUGGGGAGCAAACAGGAUUAGAAACCCCAGUAGUCC